RNAcentral lists this ribosomal RNA (448 nucleotides) under uncultured bacterium. RNAcentral describes it as "bacterial SSU rRNA". It matches the Rfam family "Bacterial small subunit ribosomal RNA", at positions 329 to 794 of the family's 1533-position model. The record is from RNAcentral.
GCCCAGACUCCUACGGGAGGCAGCAGUGGGGAAUAUUGCACAAUGGGGGAAACCCUGAUGCAGCGACGCCGCGUGAGUGAAGAAGUAUUUCGGUAUGUAAAGCUCUAUCAGCAGGGAAGAAAAUGACGGUACCUGACUAAGAAGCCCCGGCUAACUACGUGCCAGCAGCCGCGGUAAUACGUAGGGGGCAAGCGUUAUCCGGAUUUACUGGGUGUAAAGGGAGCGUAGACGGCAUGGCAAGUCAGAUGUGAAAGCCCGGGGCUCAACCCCGGGACUGCAUUUGAAACUGUCAGGCUGGAGUGCAGGAGAGGUAAGUGGAAUUCCUAGUGUAGCGGUGAAAUGCGUAGAUAUUAGGAGGAACACCAGUGGCGAAGGCGGCUUACUGGACUGUAACUGACGUUGAGGCUCGAAAGCGUGGGGAGCAAAUGGGAUUAGAUACCCCGGUAGU